GGAAUAUUGCGCAAUGGGCGAAAGCCUGACGCAGCGACGCCGCGUGUGGGAUGAAGGUCUUCGGAUUGUAAACCACUGUCGGGAGGGACGAAGCUCUGACGGUACCUCCAAAGGAAGUACCGGCUAACUCUGUGCCAGCAGCCGCGGUAAUACAGAGGGGGCAAGCGUUGUUCGGAAUUACUGGGCGUAAAGGGCGCGUAGGCGGCCUACUAAGUCGAACGUGAAAUCCCCGGGCUCAACCCGGGAACUGCGUCCGAUACUGGUGGGCUUGAAUUCGGGAGAGGGAUGUGGAAUUCCAGGUGUAGCGGUGAAAUGCGUAGAUAUCUGGAGGAACACCGGUGGCGAAGGCGGCAUCCUGGACCGAUAUUGACGCUGAUGCGCGAAAGCCAGGGGAGCAAAC
This 400-nucleotide ribosomal RNA is filed under the name uncultured bacterium. RNAcentral describes it as "bacterial SSU rRNA". It matches the Rfam family "Bacterial small subunit ribosomal RNA", at positions 358 to 773 of the family's 1533-position model. The record is from RNAcentral.